AGCAGCCGCGGUAAUUCCAGCUCCAAUAGCGUAUAUUAAAGUUGUUGCAGUUAAAAAGCUCGUAGUUGAAUUUCGGGAUUGACACAUCGGUCGUGCCUUAAGGGGUAUGAACUGGUGUAGUCAAUUUCUCACCUUCUGGAGAACCGCGAUGCCCUUAAUUGGGUGUCGCGGGGAACCAGGACCUUUACUUUGAAAAAAUUAGAGUGUUUAAAGCAGGCAUUUUGCUUGAAUACAUUAGCAUGGAAUGAUAAAAUAGGACGGCAUGAUUCUAUUUUGUUGGUUUCUAGGAUCACCGUAAUGAUUAAUAGGGAUAGUUGGGGGCAUUAGUAUUCAAUUGUCAGAGGUGAAAUUCUUGGAUUUAUUGAAGACUAACUACUGCGAAAGCAUUUGCCAAGGAUGUUUUCAUUAAUCAAGAACGAAAGUUAGGGGAUCGAAGACGAUCAGAUACCGUCGUAGUCUUAACCAUAAACUAUGCCGACUAGGAAUCAGACGAUGUUAAUUUUUAAUGUACUCGUUGGCG
Molecule: ribosomal RNA, 520 nt
Filed under: uncultured Entrophospora
Lineage: Eukaryota; Fungi; Glomeromycota; Glomeromycetes; Entrophosporales; Entrophosporaceae
Description: SSU rRNA
Rfam family: Eukaryotic small subunit ribosomal RNA
Source: RNAcentral